RNAcentral lists this ribosomal RNA (478 nucleotides) under uncultured bacterium. Its description in RNAcentral is "partial 16S ribosomal RNA". It matches the Rfam family "Bacterial small subunit ribosomal RNA", at positions 28 to 507 of the family's 1533-position model. The record is from RNAcentral.
GAUGAACGCUGGCGGCGUGCUUAACACAUGCAAGUCGAACGAGAAGUGAAGACGGAAACCUUCGGGCGGAAGGCUUUAUUUCGAGUGGCGGACGGGUGAGUAACGCGUGGGUAACCUGCCUCAUACAGGGGGAUAACAGUUGGAAACGACUGUUAAUACCGCAUAAGACCACAGCACCGCAUGGUGCGGGGGUAAAAACUCCGGUGGUAUGAGAUGGACCCGCGUUCGAUUAGCCAGUUGGCGGGGUAACGGCCCACCAAAGCGACGAUCGAUAGCCGAUCUGAGAGGAUGACCGGCCACAUUGGGACUGAGACACGGCCCAAACUCCUACGGGAGGCAGCAGUGGGGAAUAUUGCACAAUGGGGGAAACCCUGAUGCAGCGACGCCGCGUGAGUGAAGAAGUAUUUCGGUAUGUAAAGCUCUAUCAGCAGGGAAGAAGAUGACGGUACCUGAGUAAGAAGCCCCGGCUAACUACGUG